CAAAAUGACAACAACCAUAAUAAGCUGACGAGAUCUUCAGUUGAGUAAGUUAAUUGCUUAAUAUUUUUAAACUUUUAAUUCAGAUACAGACUAACUGAUGAGGGAGGGGAUCGAUAUUGCCAAAGCAUUGGGAAUUACCAAAUCAACAGACUCGAGAACAAAACUCUUAUCAAGAAAAGCAAACUGUUUGGAACUCUUAAAAAAGACUACUGAUCAAGAAGAUAAUAGUUCUGAUAUUUUGAAAAUUCCAACAUUCACCCUGUCCAACAACUUCCAUAUGCUGCUGACUGCGUAAAUAUUAAUUACAAUAAACAGUUUGGCAGGCACAUGAUUGCAACUCGUAAUAUUUAACCAGAUGAAGUGGUUAUUAAUAAGACUGGCUCUGUUGUAUUUCCUAGUGGAAACCAGAUGUAUCGCAACUGUUCUCACUAUCUGAGUUUAGCUUGAAAUGGAAUUCCUUGUGAUUUCUGUGCUUUUGCUAUUUUUUGCAAUAAAACAUUCAAAAAAGAAGCUUGGAAUGCAUAUCACAAUACUGAAUGUUGCAUAAUGUCACAUGUUUUUUUAAAGCAGACAGAUAAAUCAAUUUAAACCCAUGUCAUGAUUACAACGAAAAUAUUUAUAAAAACAAUUAAAAGAGAGGGUCUAAAAAAUAUUUUAAGUAUUGCUGAAUCUAUAGAUAAAAAAGUAUCAGAUAAUUAAAGAUGACAAUCGUUCUGUUGAUGGAAAAAAUAAUAACCUAACCUUAAUAAAAUAUUUAUGCCGAAAGGAAAAUUGUAAUGAUGACUAUACUUCCUGUUAAAAAGGGUGAACAGCUGUAUUGUCCUUAUAGACCAAAUUUACAUGAAGAGAAAGAUGAGAGACAAUCAUAUUUACAAGCUCAUUAUUUCUUUAAUUUUGAAUGCCAAACUUGCAAAAAUAAUUGGACAUUAAAAAGCUUACAAAAAUUGAUCAGAAAUCUUUAUAAUAAAUGUCGGCUAUUAUACUACUAACUAUAAAUUAUUUAACAUACAACAAAACAAUAAACUGUUUGGUAAAACACAUUUAGAAAAUGAUGAAGAAUAAAAAAAUGAACGCUUUGUUAUCCGGGACACUUAUCAAUCUUACAAUGUAUUACAACGAAGUAAACAAAGCAAAACUUGCCUGUUCUGUAUUUCAAAGAUUGCCAUAUAAACCAACUGACAUAACAUAU
Long non-coding RNA from Nasonia vitripennis (jewel wasp), 1189 nucleotides. RefSeq lists it as uncharacterized. NCBI's taxonomy places the organism in Eukaryota, Metazoa, Arthropoda, Insecta, Hymenoptera, Pteromalidae. The record is from RefSeq and is a predicted model, not a curated record. The transcript has 3 exons.